Molecule: ribosomal RNA, 253 nt
Filed under: uncultured bacterium
Lineage: Bacteria
Description: partial 16S ribosomal RNA
Rfam family: Bacterial small subunit ribosomal RNA
Source: RNAcentral
UACGUAUGUGGCGAGCGUUGUCCGGAUUUACUGGGCGUAAAGGGAGCGUAGGCGGACUUUUAAGUGAGAUGUGAAAUACUCGGGCUCAACUUGAGUGCUGCAUUUCAAACUGGAAGUCUAGAGUGCAGGAGAGGAGAAUGGAAUUCCUAGUGUAGCGGUGAAAUGCGUAGAGAUUAGGAAGAACACCAGUGGCGAAAGCGGCUCUCUGGUCUGUAACUGACGCUGAGGUUCGAAAGCGUGGGUAGCAAACAGG